Molecule: non-coding RNA, 3451 nt
Organism: Taeniopygia guttata (zebra finch)
Lineage: Eukaryota; Metazoa; Chordata; Aves; Passeriformes; Estrildidae
Source: RefSeq, a predicted model, not a curated record
UCCCAAAGGUAAGAGGGAGACUGGUGUGACAGAGGUAAGAGGAAGUCUGGCAUCAUAGAAGAUGGAGAUCAUCUUGCAUCACAGAGGAAGGAGGGAGUUUGGCAUUACUGACAUUAGAGGGAGUCUCACAUCAUGGGGGAAGGAGCACAUUCUCGUUCAUGCUGCCCUUACUACUUAAAGUCAUGAUCCUAAUUUAAAUUCACAAUGUGCACCUCAUCUGUCUUGCAGUUUGCCAGAAAAUUCCUCUGGCAGUCUUUACAUUCAUCAUUUCUAUCUCCACACCUUCUUUUAACUGAAGGAUUGUCAUGUACUUUGUUCUUACCUCAAACUCCUUGCACUCUUUUUUUUCCCCGCUAAAGCACCACAUAUACAUCAAUUCUGCAUGUUUUAAUAAUUAAAGGUUUCAGUAACAUAGUUUUCUAACAGUGCUAAUACAAAAAGCUUGUAAAUCUGCUAGCUGAAAAGAUCUUUCCCUCCCUGAUUCUGUGGAAGAAUCUUAAGAGACUCAGACUAAUGGAAGAUCCUGUAGUAAAUAGAAGGGGAUAUACUGCAAUGUACCACCACCAAUUUGAGAUAAAAACAAGUCUUAUCUGGAGAUCAGGGCAGGCAAAAUAUUGGCAAUAACACCAUGGCAGGGAAGGAGGGUAACCUUUCACUCUUCACUGCUGGAGGAUUUGGUGAAGCUAAAAUUAGAGCCCAAAUUUGCCUUAAGGCCUGAGGAACAAUUACCUCGAUCUCAUUUCCUUAUCUGUAAUAUCUCACUCUUUUGGUUCAUUUCCACCUCCUCAGAAAAUGCAGAUGCUGGCACAGGAUGAAGAGGUGAACCUCAUUAUCGCUAGAGACUCUAGUGGAAGGCAAAACAGAACCAUGUGCUGUUCAUAAUUUCUUUGCAGGCACUAGGAAUGAAAUGUUGAAGUAAAGCUCAAGAUGUUAUUUGGACUCUCUUGGACUGUGUCACUUAGUUGGCUGGAUAGUGGCUAAGAAUUGUUAAAAAAACUUGUUACUGGCAUGGUAUCCUUCCCUCUUUUAACCAGAGGAAGGGAUUUGAGAGAGCUUUCAGCUGUGUUCCUCCUCCAUUGUAUGCCAGGCUGUUGUCACUUCUCUGCACCUGUGCAAAAAACCUGUUCUUGGGAUUUGAGGGUCGUUAAAUAGAGUAAAGGCUGGAUAGGAUAAAUAGGAUAAAAUCUUUGCAUGCUCUCACCUUAAUGCAUUAUUCUGGUAGUUUGAACAGUUCUUUCACCCUUAAUUUUCAUGACUGAACAGUGCUGAUUUAAGAGUCCUUUCUUGCCUUUUGUCUGCAGAGUCUUAAACAGAAAUUAUUGCAGAUGAAGAGUGCAUCUCCUUUCUUCUGAAUCAUGCACUCAGUCGUUAGAUCACAUUAAUGGGCAUCACACAGAUCCCAAGCUGGAUUCUGUCAGGUUGUGUUUAUGUAGCCCAACAGCUUUUUUUAGACUCUUGAAAGAGAGUGGGUUUGUUCAAACAUAAUAGAAGCAAAAUAAGGAAAAUUGAGGUAAACAAAUCAUUUUUAAGCAGCACAGAAUAAUGUGUAGGGCAUAGCUUUGAAAGAACAAGUAAUGUUGCAUAGAUAUGUGUUCUUGUAAAUUGAGUUUCUUCCUCUUAAGAAAGUGGUAUGCAGUAUUUUAAAUAAUGAUUGGGAUAUGAGCUUUGACUGGCCAGUGGUUACAUACAUUCUGCCCCUGGAUGAGGCAAAAUGGAUAACAGUGAACUUAAUCUCAUACUACUUUUCUUUUAUGCUUAGUUAGACUUGGGUCUCAGUGCCUGUGGACUUUCAGAGUUAACAACAGAUUUUAAUUGUAGGAAAAAUGAGGUGGGAAUGUGUUGUGCAAGGUGCUCAAACAGUCCUCUGGAGUAGUGUGCCUCAAAGACAGGUGCUGUAAGUGCAAGCUCUGGGUGAUGCAGAUGGGCACCCCCAGAGCUUAAACUGGCCCUGUUGCUUGUUCCUGUUGUCCAAGGGACUAAGAAGAUGAGGCGCUGCACGGGAGCAGUGCCUGUGCCAUAGGUGUGGGGUGUUCCUCAGCAGGGAACACCCAACCCUGACUGGGAGCAGCAUGCCCCAUCCUGGGGGAGGCACUGAGGUUUCACUGCUUUGGGGACACAACCUCACUCCUUGCUUGCAGCCUUCUAAUUAAGUUCCUUCUGUACUGGUUAAUUUCUGAUUGUGAACAGUCUAGGGAAAAAAAAAAAAGUAAAAUAGGAUGAUAUAAUCUCUUCCUGCUGUUUUGGAGAUAGCAUUGUGUUCCACCUCCUUGUGGCAAUAAAAUAUGUAAAUGCUAAAUUUCUUAUCGAGACAAGCCAGAAACUCUGUUGGAUUUGUAUUUCCUGUCUUUGAUUUGCCUUCCUGCACAGGACGCUUUAUUUCAUCCGAUGCCUGCUCCUCCUCCUCCCCUACAAUGUUAAUGCAUCAUUUCAUGCUCACCUGGGAGAUGUUAUCACUUGUAGGCAAAGCAAUUUCUGCGUUGCUAAGCUAUUUUCUAGCUUGUCAUAAUGCUCCAUAAACUACAGAAAUAGGAAGAUUUUCUUCUACGAGUGACUUGGUGGUUUUCUGUCUGUUGCUGGAGCUACAUGAUGGCAAAAAUGUGAUGCCUGGAGAUAGCAGGACGCAGACUGAGGGUGAAGCUGUGAGGACUGUGCCAUGUCUUAGUCCUUUUUAGGCUGUGGCAGUGCUCAGGGGCUCUGUUACAGGUGUCAUGAGUUUUUGAAGUGCUUCAGUGGGGUUGUUUUUCCUUCAGGUCUCUUGGGAAGAGUAACCUGCAAUUGCUGCUCUUUGGGCAAACCAGCAUGUAAACAAAGGUGCAGCAGAGGAGAGCUGCCUUUUUGGGUAAUUAUUAAUCAAUAAACCUCGUAUCUCACAGAGUGUGCCAAGUGCUCUGAGCUCCCUCACAGUGUGCUGGUCUUGCCUUUGGUCACAUAAAAAGAGGAAAAAGCCAAACCAAAGCAUUAACUCCCUUUGAAGCACUCGUUUAUAAAGGCAACAGGCCAGCGUGGUUGCAUCAAGAGACUUCAGACAAUAAAACCACCAGCACUUUGUUGUUGACAUCUCUGAAAACUGAGGGUAGAAACGUGUCACUGUACCUGUUUGUCCUUCCACAUCAUGGUGCUGUAUUGCUGCAUCGUGGAACAAGUGUUAAGGAGCUGAUAACUUCCAUUUCACCACAGAUCCCAGCAGUGAUUAGUGGAGAAAAUUCAUGUGCAGAUGCCUCACAACUGAGGCUGCUUUGUGCUGCUCAAACAACACAGGAGAGCUCCAGAGAAGCAGCUAGAAUAAUGAACUUGGGAAAUCAGGGCUCUGAGUGGCUCCUCUGGGCCCGGGCUGGAGCUGCUGGUAGGAACAUGCUGCAUCCCAGCAGCUCAUCCCUCACAAAAUUCCCCUUGGGUGAGCUGGUGAGAGUUACAGUACUGCUGAUGCACUUGGUCCUUCCCUUCCCGGGCA